Molecule: transfer RNA, 77 nt
Filed under: Salmonella sp. FORC89
Lineage: Bacteria; Pseudomonadati; Pseudomonadota; Gammaproteobacteria; Enterobacterales; Enterobacteriaceae
Description: tRNA-Asp
Source: RNAcentral
CGGUUAUCCGUAUUCUUCAACACCUGCGCAAUGAUGCGUUCCAUUGCGCUGUCGCCGUUUUCGGUGAAAUAACGCGU